GGGCCGCGCGAGCCUCUGUGCUGCCGGCGGGAUGCAGCGGGCGUGCGGCCAGGGCGCGGGGCCGCCACCUGCUGGGGAGCCAGGAACAGCGCUGUCUACAAGUUCACCAGCCAGGACACCUCCGACUACUUGAGAACACACGUGUGAUGGUGCAAUUUCUGCUUUUCUGAAAGAACUCGGAGGAGACCUGAUAGAGGAGCUUGGGGAACAUCUCCGUCAGGACACAGUCCCUGCAGGUCAAUGAAAUCUACCACGAUGAGUCUUUGGGGGCCCACAUCAACGUGGUGCUGGUGCGGAUCAUCCUGCUGAGCUGUGGGAAGUCCAUGAGCCUCAUUGAGAUCGGGAACCCUUCCCAGAGCCUGGAGAAUGUCUGCCACUGGGCCUACCUGCAGCAGAAGCCAGACACAGACCACGACGAGUACCACGAUCAUGCCAUUUUCCUCACUCGGCAGGACUUCGGGCUGUCAGGCAUACAAGGUGAGCUGCCCUCAGGUGAGGAAUCGGGGGGGCAAGUGCAGUGGGAGGAGCGUGGUGGAGGAGC
Molecule: long non-coding RNA, 541 nt
Organism: Ochotona curzoniae (black-lipped pika)
Lineage: Eukaryota; Metazoa; Chordata; Mammalia; Lagomorpha; Ochotonidae
Exons: 4
Source: RefSeq, a predicted model, not a curated record